CCUACGGGAGACUGCAGUGAGGAAUAUUUGUCAAUGGACGAGAGUCUGAACCAGCCACGUAGCGUGAAGGAUGACUGCCCUAUGGGUUGUAAACUUCUUUUAUAAAGGAAUAAAACGAGACACGUGUGCCUUUUUGCAUGUACUUUAUGAAUAAGGAUCGGCUAACUCCGUGCCAGCAGCCGCGGUAAUACGGAGGAUCCGAGCGUUAUCCGGAUUUGUUGGGUUUAAAGGGAGCGUAGAUGGUUUGUUAAGUCAGGUGUGAAAGUUUGCGGCUCAACCGUAAAAUUGCAAUUGAUACUGGCAGACUUGAGUACAGGUGAGGUAGGCGGAAUUCGCGGUGUAGCGGUGAAAUGCUUAGAUAUCACGAAGAACCCCCAUGGCGAAGGCAGCUUCCUAAACUGUGACUGACAUUGAUGCUCGAAAGUGAGGGUAUCAAACAGGAUUAGAUACCCUGGUAGUC
RNAcentral lists this ribosomal RNA (460 nucleotides) under uncultured bacterium. RNAcentral describes it as "partial 16S ribosomal RNA". It matches the Rfam family "Bacterial small subunit ribosomal RNA", at positions 338 to 795 of the family's 1533-position model. The record is from RNAcentral.